AGAGUUUGAUCCUGGCUCAGGAUGAACGCUGGCGGCGUGCUUAACACAUGCAAGUCGAACGAUCCUUCGGGAUAGUGGCGCACGGGUGAGGAACACGUAGCUAACCUGCCUCAGAGUACAGAAUAACUCCUCGAAAGAGGCGCUAAUACUGUAUAAGCUCACGAGUUGUAGAUGCUAGUGAGAAAAGAUUUAUCGCUUUGAGAGGGGGCUGCGGCCCAUCAGCUAGAUGGCGAGGUAACGGCUCACCAUGGCAACGACGGGUAGGGGGUCUGAGAGGAUGAUCCCCCACACUGGGACUGAGACACGGCCCAGACUCCUACGGGAGGCAGCAGUGAGGAAUAUUGCACAAUGGYMGAAACCCUGAUGCAGCGACGCCGCGUGGGUGAUGAAGGCCUUCGGGUCGUAAAGCCCUUUUCUGUGUGACGAGCAAGGACGGUAGCACAGGAAUAAGCCUCGGCUAACUACGUGCCAGCAGCCGCGGUAAAACGUAGGAGGCGAGCGUUAUCCGGAGUUACUGGGCGUAAAGCGCAUGUAGGCGGUUGGAUAAGUUGCGUGUGAAAGCUCCUGGCUAAACUAGGAGAGGACAGGCAAGACUGUUCGGCUAGAGGGUGGUAGAGGGGCACAGAAUUCGGGGUGUAGCGGUGAAAUUGGUAGA
RNAcentral lists this ribosomal RNA (655 nucleotides) under uncultured bacterium. Its description in RNAcentral is "bacterial SSU rRNA". It matches the Rfam family "Bacterial small subunit ribosomal RNA", at positions 8 to 694 of the family's 1533-position model. The record is from RNAcentral.